GAUGAAGAACGUAGCGAAAUGCGAUAAGUAGUGUGAAUUGCAGAAUUCAGUGAAUCAUCGAAUCUUUGAAUGCACAUUGCGCCCUCUGGUAUUCCGGGGGGCAUGCCUGUUCGAGCGUCAUUACAACCCUCAAGCUCUGCUUGGUAUUGGGCUCUGCCGGUCCUGGCAGGCCUCAAAGUCAGUGGCGGUGCCAUCCGGCUCCAAGCGUAGUAAUUCUUCUCGCUUCGGAGGCCGCGGUGCGUGCUAGCCAGCAACCCCCAAUUUUUUUCAGGUUGACCUCGGAUCAGGUAGGGAUACCCGCUGAACUUAAGCAUAUCAAUAAGCGGAGGA
RNAcentral lists this unclassified non-coding RNA (330 nucleotides) under soil metagenome. Its description in RNAcentral is "partial contains 5.8S ribosomal RNA, internal transcribed spacer 2, and large subunit ribosomal RNA". The stretch from base 1 to 120 matches the Rfam family "5.8S ribosomal RNA", at positions 35 to 154 of the family's 154-position model. The record is from RNAcentral.